This 506-nucleotide ribosomal RNA is filed under the name uncultured bacterium. RNAcentral describes it as "partial 16S ribosomal RNA". It matches the Rfam family "Bacterial small subunit ribosomal RNA", at positions 29 to 523 of the family's 1533-position model. The record is from RNAcentral.
AGUGAACGCUAGCGGUAGGCCUAACACAUGCAAGUCGAACGGCAGCACAGGAGAGCUUGCUCUCUGGGUGGCGAGUGGCGGACGGGUGAGGAAUACAUCGGAAUCUACUCUGUCGUGGGGGAUAACGUAGGGAAACUUACGCUAAUACCGCAUACAACCUACGGGUGAAAGCAGGGGAUCUUCGGACCUUGCGCGAUUGAAUGAGCCGAUGUCGGAUUAGCUAGUUGGCGGGGUAAAGGCCCACCAAGGCGACGAUCCGUAGCUGGUCUGAGAGGAUGAUCAGCCACACUGGAACUGAGACACGGUCCAGACUCCUACGGGAGGCAGCAGUGGGGAAUAUUGGACAAUGGGCGCAAGCCUGAUCCAGCCAUACCGCGUGGGUGAAGAAGGCCUUCGGGUUGUAAAGCCCUUUUGUUGGGAAAGAAAUCCAGCUGGCUAAUACCCGGUUGGGAUGACGGUACCCAAAGAAUAAGCACCGGCUAACUUCGUGCCAGCCGCCGCAGUAA